AUGUAUUGUGGGAGUGUAGUUUGAAGCAUCUGCAAACUGAGUUGGUGAUAUCGCGAACGAGACUUCAAUGACCAGAAACGUCCUCUUCUUUGCUGAAGCUGUACGGCUUGUUCGUGAGAGUCGCCCUGAACUAGCAGAUGUGAAAAUUCCCUGAUCUUUUAAUGAUCUGGAUAUAUUUUGGUUAGUUGUUUGUAAAUCAAAAUUAUUUGAAGAUCGAAUAAUCUGCUCAGCGCCCUGUUUUUUUCCUCUCGUCAACCAGCACUGUCUUGUAAUGUUUACUUCUUUCGUGCUUCGGCGUGUCCUCUUGUGCGCUUGUGUAGCGGACUGAUGUAGUGUCUAAUGUUAGCUAAAUUAUUUUACACAAACAAUACAUAGGUUGGCUAGCUUUAUUCAUACGAUUUAUUCACACGAAGCAUGUCCAUCGUGCACAAUCGAUGUAAAUAAUCGAUGUGAAUACUCCCAUGUAGUUACAGUUAUAGUCGAGAACGAAGUGCGAGCAAGAUCCUCGUUCAUGAUGGCGAUGUUUCGCAGUUUUGUGUCGGCUACUCAUCAGCUCAGGCAGCACCAACAAAACGGGGCAGCUGCGGCUGCCACUGGCGAGAGCCUCGAGAGCCAGUUCUCCUGCCCAAUUUGCCUGGAGGUGUAUCAUAAACCUGUCACCAUUGGAAGCUGUGCCCACACGUUCUGUGGGGAGUGUCUGCAGCCCUGUCUCCAGGUCACCUCUCCCCUCUGCCCUCUGUGCCGCAUGCCUUUUGACCCAAAGAAGGUGGACAAGUCCUCCAGUGUGGAGAAACAGCUGUCCAACUACAAGGCCCCCUGUCGGGGCUGCAGUAAGAAGGUGUCUCUGGUCAAAAUGAGGUCACACAUCUCCUCUUGCGCGAAGGUCCAGGAGCAGAUGGCCAACUGCCCAAAGUUUGUGCCUGUGGUCCCCACUUCACAGCCCAUUCCCAGCAAUAUUCCAAACCGCUCCACCUUUUCAUGCCCGUUCUGUGGAGCCCGUAAUCUGGAUCAACAGGAGCUGGUCAAACACUGUAUGGAGAACCACCGCAACGAUCCCAACAAAGUGGUGUGUCCUGUAUGUUCAGCCAUGCCUUGGGGGGACCCCAGCUACAAGAGCUCCAACUUCCUCCAGCACCUCCUCCACCGGCACAAGUUCUCCUACGACACGUUUGUGGACUACAGCAUUGACGAGGAGUCAUCACUGCAGGCAGCCAUGGCCCUGUCCUGUCAAAUCAAAUGUUAAAGUGAGUGACCGUCUGACUCUGUCUUUACAGGACUACAGUAUCGAUGAAGAGGCGGCACUACAGGCAGCCCUGGCUCUCUCCAUGGCAGAGAACUGAGAGUCAUCUGUGUCCCCCAUUCUGCUGUCUGGGGACGCACUUUCUUUCUGACACCCCACUAACUCUCUUUCUUUCUCUGGAUCCACCCCAUAUCCAGCCCCCUCCACUGUCUCCUCACAGGGAGAGUUUGGAAGGACUUGGCCUCGACUCCCACUCUGGGAGAGCUACAGAGGGCUUAUCUCCUAACCCUGUCCCUCUAUCUGGCCCUUCAUCCCAUGACCAUUACAUCAUAUCUUCUCAGCCAGCAGCAGCCUCCUCACUUCCUGUAUACUGGGGAGGAAGGAAGCUUGGCCUCCCAAUAAAUGUUGCAAUUCAAAACCACUGCAAUGCAAAACAAUGAGUGCAGUAUGGACAUUGUUGUUAUUCUGCAGAAAGUAUGAGGGUUCCCAAAAGUAAUGAUUUAAGGUAUUUUCUUUCACUCUUUAUUUUUCACUGUUCAAAUGAAAUGUUUUCAAACUCCAGGAAAAAGCCAUCAUGACACACGUUCUGGUCAAAGUACCACAGAUUAGUUUUGUUGAAGUUUAUUCUCAAGUGCAUCAUUUGAUGGCUUUUUGAUUAAGAGGGACCACAGUUGAAUGGCUUGACCUCAUUCUCAGUGUGAUAAUCUUACCACUAGGUGACAGUCUAGACAUGACCAGUUAAACACAGAGUGAGGUCAUUCUCAGUGUGAUAAUCUUACCACUAGGUGACAGUCUAGACAUGACCAGUUAAACACAGAGAGUGAAGUCAUUCUCAGUGUGAUAAUCUUACCGCUGGGUGACAGUCUAGACAUGACCAGUUAAACACAGAGUGAGGUCAUUCUCAGUGUGAUAAUCUUACCGCUGGGUGACAGUCUAGACAUGACCAGUUAAACACAGAGUGAGGUCAUUCUCAGUGUGAUAAUCUUACCGCUAGGUGACAGUCUAGACAUGACCAGUUAAACACAGAGUGAGGUCAUUCUCAGUGUGAUAAUCUUACCACUAGGUGACAGUCUAGACAUGACCAGUUAAACACAGAGUGAGGUCAUUCUCAGUGUGAUAAUCUUACCGCUGGGUGACAGUCUAGACAUGACCAGUUAAACACAGAGUGAGGUCAUUCUCAGUGUGAUAAUCUUACCGCUAGGUGACAGUCUAGACAUGACCAGUUAAACACAGAGUGAGGUCAUUCUCAGUGUGAUAAUCUUACCGCUGGGUGACAGUCUAGACAUGACCAGUUAAACACAGAGUGAGGUCAUUCUCAGUGUGAUAAUCUUACCGCUGGGUGACAGUCUAGACAUGACCAGUUAAACACAGAGUGAGGUCAUUCUCAGUGUGAUAAUCUUACCACUAGGUGACAGUCUAGACAUGACCAGUUAAACACAGAGAGUGAGGUCAUUCUCAGUGUGAUAAUCUUACCACUAGGUGACAGUCUAGACAUGACCAGUCAAACACAGAGUGAGGUCAUUCUCAGUGUGAUAAUCUUACCGCUGGGUGACAGUCUAGACAUGACCAGUUAAACACAGAGUGAGGUCAUUCUCAGUGUGAUAAUCUUACCGCUGGGUGACAGUCUAGACAUGACCAGUUAAACACAGAGUGAGGUCAUUCUCAGUGUGAUAAUCUUACCACUAGGUGACAGUCUAGACAUGACCAGUUAAACACAGAGUGAGGUCAUUCUCAGUGUGAUAAUCUUACCACUAGGUGACAGUCUAGACAUGACCAGUUAAACACAGAGAGUGAGGAUCAUUCUCAGUGUGAUAAUCUUACCACUAGGUGACAGUCUAGACAUGACCAGUUAAACACAGAGAGUGAGGUCAUUCUCAGUGUGAUAAUCUUACCGCUGGGUGACAGUCUAGACAUGACCAGUUAAACACAGAGUGAGGUCAUUCUCAGUGUGAUAAUCUUACCACUAGGUGACAGUCUAGACAUGACCAGUUAAACACAGAGAGUGAGGUCAUUCUUACAUCCCCAUCACGACAACAACACACUAACAUUUGCAACGCGAACCAAAACAAUCUAUCAAAAUAUCCCCUUUUGUAUUCAGAGUUCUUGUGAAUACUUGCACUUGUCACAUUUUUCUACAUAAUUGAACUAUAGAUUGUUCUCAUUUCACAGAUCAGAAUCAUAAUUAUAGUACUGCAUUUAUUCUUCACACUGCUGUUACUCUGCUGAUAUUUUUAUGAAGCACCAGACAAGAUCAAAUAUAUUUUUGGAAAAUGUUUCCGUUUUAAAUGGUGUACUAAUCAUAAGAAACAUGUUUAUUGGCGAUGUGUUUGUUGUUUUACCACCUUGUUAAAAGUACCCAUUGGUACUGUACUGCUGGCAUCAAACAGUUGCUUGCAGGAUUUUAGGGCCUAUGUGUAAUACACUGUCUCGAACACAAGAGGGCACCCCAGUCUCAAAAUAGACCGGGCACAAGUCAAUAGUAAUUUAAGUCAGUGUUACUCCGUCAGUUUAUACCCAUACACAGUAUUCUGUUUGGUUUAGUGCCCACUAGGAGAAGUACAAGAAGUGAAAUAUUAUGACGUGAGUAUUGUUGGAUAAGUUUAUCCUUGUGGUGGAAUUGGUUGCUGCAACAUAAGUGUCCAGUUUUAUGUUAAUUAUUGUCUUGAACACCAAUGUUGGUCUGAUUAGUAAAAUGCAAAUGUAAAAGUGUACAUUGCUACUCUACAGAAUCAGUGCAAUAUUCCUAGGCCAUUUACCUUCCAGGAUCCACACUGCUCCUGUCUCAGUGGGGUCUCCCCAAAACCUGUUGGUCAGAGCUGUGAAAAUCUGUUUGAAUAUACCAUACACAUUCCAGUCCUGUUACAAUCAUUAUGUUCCAAUGGUUUGUUAAAGACAUCCACUUUCUGAUAGCACAGUAAUUAUUAAAGUUGGAUUUAAACAAAACUGUGCAGAACAGCUGCAUAUUCAAUCAUAUGAUAAAAAUGUCUUUAAAGACACUUUGCUUCAAAGGGAUACAAUUCUAAAAGUAUGUUGCCCCAAAGUAGAUGUUUAAAUUAUAAGCCAUGUUUGAGUAGUAGUGUGCCCGUUGAGCUAGCAUUGAUCUGUGGAGAUUUAAGAUGAUGUUUUGGUUCACACUGAUGGAUGCCUUAUAGGAAACUGGUUAGAUUGUAUAGCGCGCAAUGGAGGAAGAUAUUAUGUAUUGUGAUUAUUUGUUACUAGACUGACUAGUAGAAGUAUAAUGGUCUGUCCAGUUGUGUUUUUCCUUGUUUCUGAGGAGAACUGUACAUACGGUAGAGAAUGCAACAUUUAGGUUUAGGUCCCUGUGGUAACUACGAAUGAGAAUGUAUUCGUUUUUUUCAUACGUUAUAUAUUUUCCACGGGAAUGCAUUGAAAUAUUGCACUUUACUUUUAAAAAAUAUAUUUAGAAAAAACUUUUUUUUUUUUUUUUUUUUUUCAAUAUGUACAUUUCAUGAUGGAUGAUAAUGUAAGUUGUGGCUGUUUUUGUGUAAGAGCAGAGGGAAUGUUAAGUAUUAUCUCAGUCAUAACAUGGUGAUGUUUUGAUGUACUGGGAUGGUACAGACAAUUUGUCUGUCGUUAAUAUUCUAUAGAUGGGUAUAUAUUGCAAAACCAACUGAGAAAACCAUCCCAGAUGUACAAAAGUGUGGCAAACAAAAUUUGACUCUCAGCUUAGUCAAAGCGUUCCUGGAGAUAAUACAUCCUCAUUUGAUAGACAUCGACAUGUUAUAUUUUCGGUGUUUAAAUGUAUUGUACUGGUUGGUGGCACAGUAUUGACAGCUGUAGCCAUUAGAGAGAAACUGUCAUCACCAUGAGAAGUCGUGAGUUUCUUCUGGGGCAGCAAGGAAUUGUCACGCAUCUUUAAUUGAAUAAUUUACUAAACCUUUUUUACUACCUAAUGAUGCUCUUUUAUAAAUGUUUGUAAGGUAAAUGGUAUUGUGUGUUUAGAUCCGUGUUCACAUGCACAGCUGUAGCCUAAUGUAGAUUUUCUAUGGAGUUUACCUGUAAUGUAUACUUUUCACUCUUUGUGUACUGUUGCAUCCAUGCAUAAUGCCACUGUACUGUGCAUCAUCAUCCCAGAUGUCCUACUUGUGGUCAGAACCUUCCCAACCUCUGUCAAAUAAACUCAAUGUUGCAGGUCACACACUGAUAGACCGCCUGCAACAAAGACAUACACCAAAAACAGGGACGGGGGAAAAAAGGAAACUAUUUUGUAUGAACUUUGUUAGGUCUUUUUUGUCAAGAGGUCCUUACUGACACUGUCUGUUCUGAACUUGGUAAGGCUGACCGGAAAUAGACGUCCAUAAAGACUGGUAUCACAGCAAUCAGAGAAGACAGAGCCUGUGUCUCUGACUGUGUCCCCCAGGACUUGGCUGCCCUGGGAGUGUCAUGUAAUGUCACUCAGUCUAGACACAGGCUGAUGUUGUCCUCCCCAGGGGGGUCUGAGCUACAGUCACUUGAACCAGGAAGUUUCCUUCAGGCCCACUGUACCCUAGAGACCCACCAUGGGGCUUUGGCCCUACUGUCAGGGCCUGUGUGUUAAAUGUGAUUUAUGCAUUCUUAAAAAAUAGUAAUAAUACCAGUAAUAACAAUGGUUGAUUGUUAGCAUCAUCAUGUGGAUAUUUAAGUUAUAACACUGUUUGAACUUUAAGAUAUUGUAUUUGUAGCAGAUUUUUUUCCCGCCUCAAUAAAAACACUGACCCAUCCCA
This is an RNA transcript of Oncorhynchus nerka (sockeye salmon), 5964 nucleotides long. It is a transcript of the gene named E3 ubiquitin-protein ligase RNF166, with no coding region annotated. Lineage: Eukaryota; Metazoa; Chordata; Actinopteri; Salmoniformes; Salmonidae. The record is from RefSeq and is a predicted model, not a curated record. The transcript has 7 exons.